RNAcentral lists this ribosomal RNA (274 nucleotides) under uncultured bacterium. RNAcentral describes it as "partial 16S ribosomal RNA". It matches the Rfam family "Bacterial small subunit ribosomal RNA", at positions 523 to 796 of the family's 1533-position model. The record is from RNAcentral.
ACACGGAGGGCGCAAGCGUUGCUCGGAAUCACUGGGCGUAAAGCGGGUGUAGGCGGUCUAGCAAGUCAGAUGUGAAAGCCCACGGCUCAACCGUGGAAGUGCAUCUGAAACUGCUAGACUUGAGUGCCGGAGAGGGAAGUGGAAUUCCUGGUGUAGGGGUGAAAUCCGUAGAUAUCCGGAGGAACACCGGUGGCGAAGGCGACUUCCUGGACGGCCACUGACGCUGAGACCCGAAAGCGUGGGGAGCAAACAGGAUUAGAAACCCUAGUAGUCC